RNAcentral lists this non-coding RNA (23 nucleotides) under Arabidopsis thaliana (thale cress). RNAcentral also lists the same sequence under 2 other names. The record is from RNAcentral. Lineage: Eukaryota; Viridiplantae; Streptophyta; Magnoliopsida; Brassicales; Brassicaceae.
CUCUCUUAAGGUAGCCAAAUGCC